This 324-nucleotide ribosomal RNA is filed under the name Triticum aestivum (bread wheat). RNAcentral describes it as "partial small subunit ribosomal RNA". The record is from RNAcentral. Lineage: Eukaryota; Viridiplantae; Streptophyta; Magnoliopsida; Poales; Poaceae.
AUGAGAUUGUCGUUGGCUCAAGCAGUCAAGCUUUUCAGUUACAUUUUCAGCAGUGGAGUGGUGCCUGAUCAUUUCAUCUUCGUUCUUAAAGUAAGACAGAGCUUCUCCGCCUUUCCUGGAAUGGAAGACAACAUCUUAAUCCUGGACAGUGGACGGCCUGUGCCAUCAACUUCUAAUCACCAACCGGUUCCGUCCACCAACCCCUGCUACUGCUACAGAUGCAAACACAUGCUGAACGCGCUGGUGUACGCCAUGUCCUGCGAUUCCUCGUCACCCAGCGUGUUGCAGCUCCUGUUCUCUGAAAGAAAAUCCCCAUUACUGUAA